RNAcentral lists this transfer RNA (75 nucleotides) under Sphingopyxis sp. Its description in RNAcentral is "tRNA-Pro". It matches the Rfam family "tRNA". From Rfam's summary of the family: Transfer RNA (tRNA) molecules are approximately 80 nucleotides in length. Their secondary structure includes four short double-helical elements and three loops (D, anti-codon, and T loops). Further hydrogen bonds mediate the characteristic L-shaped molecular structure. tRNAs have two regions of fundamental functional importance: the anti-codon, which is responsible for specific mRNA codon recognition, and the 3' end, to which the tRNAs corresponding amino acid is attached (by aminoacyl-tRNA synthetases). tRNAs cope with the degeneracy of the genetic code in two manners: having more than one tRNA (with a specific anti-codon) for a particular amino acid; and 'wobble' base-pairing, i.e. permitting non-standard base-pairing at the 3rd anti-codon position. Lineage: Bacteria; Pseudomonadati; Pseudomonadota; Alphaproteobacteria; Sphingomonadales; Sphingopyxidaceae. The record is from RNAcentral.
CGGGGCAUGGCGCAGCCUGGCUAGCGUGCUUGCAUGGGGUGCAAGAGGUCGUGGGUUCAAAUCCCGCUACCCCGA